UGGUGCCUUCGGGAACUGUGAGACAGGUGCUGCAUGGCUGUCGUCAGCUCGUGUUGUGAAAUGUUGGGUUAAGUCCCGCAACGAGCGCAACCCUUAUCCUUUGUUGCCAGCGGUCCGGCCGGGAACUCAAAGGAGACUGCCAGUGAUAAACUGGAGGAAGGUGGGGAUGACGUCAAGUCAUCAUGGCCCUUACGACCAGGGCUACACACGUGCUACAAUGGCGCAUACAAAGAGAAGCGACCUCGCGAGAGCAAGCGGACCUCAUAAAGUGCGUCGUAGUCCGGAUUGGAGUCUGCAACUCGACUCCAUGAAGUCGGAAUCGCUAGUAAUCGUGGAUCAGAAUGCCACGGUGAAUACGUUCCCGGGCCUUGUACACACCGCCCGUCACACCAUGGGAGUGGGUUGCAAAAGAAGUAGGUAGCUUAACCUUCGGGAGGGCGCUUACCACUUUGUGAUUCAUGACUGGGGUGAAGUCGUAACAAGGUAACCGUAGGGGAACCUGCGGUUGGAUCAC
This 514-nucleotide ribosomal RNA is filed under the name Escherichia coli. Its description in RNAcentral is "bacterial SSU rRNA". It matches the Rfam family "Bacterial small subunit ribosomal RNA", at positions 1012 to 1526 of the family's 1533-position model. RNAcentral also lists the same sequence under 1 other name. The record is from RNAcentral. Lineage: Bacteria; Pseudomonadati; Pseudomonadota; Gammaproteobacteria; Enterobacterales; Enterobacteriaceae.